UGGGGAAUAUUGGACAAUGGGGGCAACCCUGAUCCAGCCAUGCCGCGUGAGUGAUGAAGGCCUUAGGGUUGUAAAGCUCUUUCGGGUGGGACGAUGAUGACGGUACCACCAGAAGAAGCCCCGGCUAACUUCGUGCCAGCAGCCGCGGUAAUACGAAGGGGGCGAGCGUUGUUCGGAAUGACUGGGCGUAAAGCGCACGUAGGCGGCUUGUUUAGUCAGGGGUGAAAUCCCGGGGCUUAACCCCGGAACUGCCUUGGAUACUGGCAAGCUUG
This 272-nucleotide ribosomal RNA is filed under the name uncultured prokaryote. RNAcentral describes it as "partial 16S ribosomal RNA". It matches the Rfam family "Bacterial small subunit ribosomal RNA", at positions 355 to 644 of the family's 1533-position model. The record is from RNAcentral.